AUUUAGAAUGCUGCACAGAAAUUGCUUCACAGGGGAAACCGUCUCAGCGCUGUGCUAGCUCAGAACCCACGCACCUUAAAGGGAAGGAUCUGACAUCUCUGCUUCGCAUUUGAAGGUACUGGGUCGUCUCAAGAACACUGCAGGUUUAUAUGGUUUACUCCAUUCUGCUCUAUUUGGAUAGAUAACUCAAGAAAUUUCCUGCAGAGAAUCUUUUUGGGUUGUGCUUCCUUCCUCUGAAGACUCAUUUGAAGAUUUUGCACUUCCUUGAUUUAGAAAUCAUGAGCAGGGACAUUAACAGGAAAACAAUAGUAGAGCAUCCAAAAGAUUCAAACAGCAGGAAGAUAACUUUGCCAAAAAAUAGAUCUUGCCCAAAUAUAUGUGCAGCAACAAAUCUGGAAUUAAAUCCAAAAGGUAAAAUUCUUUCUGUACUGAAAAAGGAAGCAUUA
Molecule: long non-coding RNA, 446 nt
Filed under: Dromaius novaehollandiae (emu)
Lineage: Eukaryota; Metazoa; Chordata; Aves; Casuariiformes; Dromaiidae
Description: lncRNA (ENSDNVG00000002828.1)
Source: RNAcentral